RNAcentral lists this ribosomal RNA (430 nucleotides) under uncultured bacterium. RNAcentral describes it as "bacterial SSU rRNA". It matches the Rfam family "Bacterial small subunit ribosomal RNA", at positions 30 to 460 of the family's 1533-position model. The record is from RNAcentral.
AUUGAACGCUGGCGGCAUGCCUUACACAUGCAAGUCGAACGGCAGCACGGGAGCAAUCCUGGUGGCGAGUGGCGAACGGGUGAGUAAUAUAUCGGAACGUGCCCAGUCGUGGGGAUAACGUAGCGAAAGCUACGCUAAUACCGCAUACGAUCUACGGAUGAAAGCGGGGGAUCGCAAGACCUCGCGCGAUUGGAGCGGCCGAUAUCAGAUUAGGUAGUUGGUGAGGUAAAGGGCUCACCAAGCCGACGAUCUGUAGCUGGUCUGAGAGGACGACCAGCCACACUGGGACUGAGACACGGCCCAGACUCCUACGGGAGGCAGCAGUGGGGGAAUUUUGGACAAUGGGCGCAAGCCUGAUCCAGCAAUGCCGCGUGCAGGAUGAAGGCCUCGGUUGUAACGUAGCUUUUGUUGUCGGAACGAAACGGUAGGA